RNAcentral lists this ribosomal RNA (200 nucleotides) under uncultured bacterium. RNAcentral's name for it is "partial 16S ribosomal RNA". It matches the Rfam family "Bacterial small subunit ribosomal RNA", at positions 8 to 214 of the family's 1533-position model. The record is from RNAcentral.
AGAGUUUGAUCCUGGCUCAGAUUGAACGCUAGCGGCAUGCUUAACACAUGCAAGUCGAACGGUAACAGAUCUAGCUUGCUAGAUGCUGACGAGUGGCGGACGGGUGAGUAACGCGUAGGAAUCUACCUUAUAGUGAGGAAUAACCUGGGGAAACCCAGGCUAAUACCGCAUGUGCCCUAAGGGGUAAAGCAGGGGACCGU